This 499-nucleotide ribosomal RNA is filed under the name uncultured bacterium. RNAcentral's name for it is "partial 16S ribosomal RNA". It matches the Rfam family "Bacterial small subunit ribosomal RNA", at positions 28 to 507 of the family's 1533-position model. The record is from RNAcentral.
GACGAACGCUGGCGGCGUGCCUAAUACAUGCAAGUCGAGCGGACUUUCAAGAAGCUUGCUUUUUGAAAGUUAGCGGCGGACGGGUGAGUAACACGUGGGCAACCUGCCUGCAAGACGGGGAUAACUCCGGGAAACCGGGGCCAAUACCGGAUAAUAUCUUCCUUCGCAUGAAGGAAGGUUGAAAGGCGGCGCACGCUGCCGCUUGCAGAUGGGCCCGCGGCGCAUUAGCUAGUUGGUGAGGUAACGGCUCACCAAGGCGACGAUGCGUAGCCGACCUGAGAGGGUGAUCGGCCACACUGGGACUGAGACACGGCCCAGACUCCUACGGGAGGCAGCAGUAGGGAAUCUUCCGCAAUAGACGAAAGUCUGACGGAGCAACGCCGCGUGAGCGAAGAAGGUCUUCGGAUCGUAAAGCUCUGUUGUCAGGGAAGAACAAGUACCGUUCGAACAGGGCGGUACCUUGACGGUACCUGACCAGAAAGCCGCGGCUAACUACGUG